Molecule: ribosomal RNA, 1068 nt
Filed under: uncultured fungus
Lineage: Eukaryota; Fungi
Description: SSU rRNA
Rfam family: Eukaryotic small subunit ribosomal RNA
Source: RNAcentral
CCAGUAGUCAUAUGCUUGUCUCAAAGAUUAAGCCAUGCAUGUCUAAGUAUAAGCAAUUUACACCGUGAAACUGCGAAUGGCUCAUUAAAUCAGUUAUCGUUUAUUUGAUAGUACCUUACUACUUGGAUAACCGUGGUAAUUCUAGAGCUAAUACAUGCUAAAAACCCCGACUUCGGAAGGGGUGUAUUUAUUAGAUAAAAAACCAAUGCCCUUCGGGGCUCCUUGGUGAUUCAUAAUAACUUAACGAAUCGCAUGGCCUUGUGCCGGCGAUGGUUCAUUCAAAUUUCUGCCCUAUCAACUUUCGAUGGUAGGAUAGUGGCCUACCAUGGUUUCAACGGGUAACGGGGAAUUAGGGUUCUAUUCCGGAGAGGGAGCCUGAGAAACGGCUACCACAUCCAAGGAAGGCAGCAGGCGCGCAAAUUACCCAAUCCCGACACGGGGAGGUAGUGACAAUAAAUACUGAUACAGGGCUCUUUUGGGUCUUGUAAUUGGAAUGAGUACAAUUUAAAUCCCUUAACGAGGAACAAUUGGAGGGCAAGUCUGGUGCCAGCAGCCGCGGUAAUUCCAGCUCCAAUAGCGUAUAUUAAAGUUGUUGCAGUUAAAAAGCUCGUAGUUGAACCUUGGGCCUGGCUGGCCGGUCCGCCUCACCGCGUGCACUGGUCCGGCCGGGCCUUUCCUUCUGGGGAGCCGCAUGCCCUUCACUGGGUGCGUCGGGGAACCAGGACUUUUACUUUGAAAAAAUUAGAGUGUUCAAAGCAGGCCUAUGCUCGAAUACAUUAGCAUGGAAUAAUAGAAUAGGACGUGUGGUUCUAUUUUGUUGGUUUCUAGGACCGCCGUAAUGAUUAAUAGGGAUAGUCGGGGGCAUCAGUAUUCAAUUGUCAGAGGUGAAAUUCUUGGAUUUAUUGAAGACUAACUACUGCGAAAGCAUUUGCCAAGGAUGUUUUCAUUAAUCAGUGAACGAAAGUUAGGGGAUCGAGACGAUCAGAUACCGUCGUAGUCUUAACCAUAAACUAUGCCGACUAGGGAAUCGGGCGAUGUUAUCUUUUUUGACUCGCUUCGGCACCUUAC